UCAACUUGAGAGUUUGAUUCUGGCUCAGAACGAACGCUGGCGGCAGGCUUAACACAUGCAAGUCGAACGAUAUAGUGGCAGACGGGUGAGUAACGCGUGGGAACGUACCUUUCACUACGGAAUAGCUCUUGGAAACGAGUGGUAAUACCGUAUACGCCCUUCGGGGGAAAGAUUUAUCGGUGAAAGAUCGGCCCGCGUUAGAUUAGCUAGUUGGUAGGGUAAUGGCCUACCAAGGCGACGAUCUAUAGCUGGUCUGAGAGGAUGAUC
Molecule: ribosomal RNA, 267 nt
Filed under: Hyphomonas sp.
Lineage: Bacteria; Pseudomonadati; Pseudomonadota; Alphaproteobacteria; Hyphomonadales; Hyphomonadaceae
Description: partial 16S ribosomal RNA
Rfam family: Bacterial small subunit ribosomal RNA
Source: RNAcentral